RNAcentral lists this ribosomal RNA (250 nucleotides) under uncultured bacterium. RNAcentral describes it as "partial 16S ribosomal RNA". It matches the Rfam family "Bacterial small subunit ribosomal RNA", at positions 779 to 1033 of the family's 1533-position model. The record is from RNAcentral.
UAGAUACCCUGGUAGUCCGCACGGUAAACGAUGAAUACUCGCAGUUCGGUUAUUAUGGUCGAGCUGUCCAGCGAAAGCGUUAAGUAUUCCACCUGGGGAGUACGCCGGCAACGGUGAAACUCAAAGGAAUUGACGGGGGCCCGCACAAGCGGAGGAACAUGUGGUUUAAUUCGAUGAUACGCGAGGAACCUUACCCGGGCUUGAACCAAGAGUGACGAGAGCAGAGAUGCUCUUUUCUUCGGACACUUUU